UUACGCUGUUAUCCCUUAGGUAAUUUAGUCUUUUAAUCAACAAAAAUGGAUCAAAGAAUUAUAUAUAAAUAUAUAAAUAAAAAAAAGAGUUUAUUAAUUCAUUUUUAUCACCCCAACAAAAUAAAUUAUAUAAUAAGUACAUUUAACAAACAAAACAAUAAUAAAGUUUAUUAAACUCUAUAGGGUCUUCUCGUCCCAUAAAAAAAUUUAAGCAUUUUAACUUAAACUUUAAAUUCAAAAUAUAUUAUUAAGAAACAGAAUAUUCCUCGUCCAACCAUUCAUUCUAGUCCCCAAUUAAAAGACUAAUGAUUAUGCUACCUUUGCACGGUCAAAAUACCGCGGCCCUUCAAAAUCUAAUCAGUGGGCAGGUUAUACUUCAAAAAUAAAAACAAGAAGAGAUGUUUUUGAUAAACAGGCG
RNAcentral lists this ribosomal RNA (418 nucleotides) under Angustonicus amieuensis. RNAcentral's name for it is "partial 16S ribosomal RNA". The record is from RNAcentral. Lineage: Eukaryota; Metazoa; Arthropoda; Insecta; Blattodea; Blattidae.